CGCAAGGGGAGUGGCAGACGGGUGAGUAACACGUGGGAACGUGCCCAAAGGUACGGAACAACUCCGGGAAACUGGAGCUAAUACCGUAUGUGUCCGUAAGGAGAAAGAUUUAUCGCCUUUGGAUCGGCCCGCGUCGGAUUAGCUAGUUGGUGGGGUAAAAGCCUACCAAGGCGACGAUCCGUAGCUGGUUUGAGAGAACGACCAGCCACACUGGGACUGAGACACGGCCCAGACUCCUACGGGAGGCAGCAGUGGGGAAUAUUGGACAAUGGGCGCAAGCCUGAUCCAGCCAUGCCGCGUGGAUGAUGAAGGCCCUAGGG
Molecule: ribosomal RNA, 320 nt
Filed under: uncultured bacterium
Lineage: Bacteria
Description: bacterial SSU rRNA
Rfam family: Bacterial small subunit ribosomal RNA
Source: RNAcentral